CCGGCUUACCAACCCGAUGCAAACUGCGAAUACCGGAGAAUGUUAUCACGGGAGACACACGGCGGGUGCUAACGUCCGUCGUGAAGAGGGAAACAACCCAGACCGCCAGCUAAGGUCCCAAAGUCAUGGUUAAGUGGGAAACGAUGUGGGAAGGCCCAGACAGCCAGGAUGUUGGCUUAGAAGCAGCCAUCAUUUAAAGAAAGCGUAAUAGCUCACUGGUCGAGUCGGCCUGCGCGGAAGAUGUAACGGGGCUAAACCAUGCACCGAAGCUGCGGCAGCGACACUGUGUGUUGUUGGGUAGGGGAGCGUUCUGUAAGCCUGUGAAGGUGUGUCGUGAGGCAUGCUGGAGGUAUCAGAAGUGCGAAUGCUGACAUAAGUAACGAUAAAGCGGGUGAAAAGCCCGCUCGCCGGAAGACCAAGGGUUCCUGUCCAACGUUAAUCGGGGCAGGGUGAGUCGACCCCUAAGGCGAGGCCGAAAGGCGUAGUCGAUGGGAAACGGGUUAAUAUUCCCGUACUUGGUGUUACUGCGAAGGGGGGACGGAGAAGGCUAUGUUGGCCGGGCGACGGUUGUCCCGGUUUAAGCGUGUAGGUGUGUGUUCCAGGUAAAUCCGGUUCACUUUAACACUGAGGCGUGACGACGAGGCACUACGGUGCUGAAGCAACAAAUGCCCUGCUUCCAGGAAAAGCCUCUAAGCAUCAGGUAACAUCAAAUCGUACCCCAAACCGACACAGGUGGUCAGGUAGAGAAUACCAAGGCGCUUGAGAGAACUCGGGUGAAGGAACUAGGCAAAAUGGUGCCGUAACUUCGGGAGAAGGCACGCUGACACGUAGGUGAAGUGAUUUACUCAUGGAGCUGAAGUCAGUCGAAGAUACCAGCUGGCUGCAACUGUUUAUUAAAAACACAGCACUGUGCAAACACGAAAGUGGACGUAUACGGUGUGACGCCUGCCCGGUGCCGGAAGGUUAAUUGAUGGGGUCAGCGCAAGCGAAGCUCCUGAUCGAAGCCCCGGUAAACGGCGGCCGUAACUAUAACGGUCCUAAGGUAGCGAAAUUCCUUGUCGGGUAAGUUCCGACCUGCACGAAUGGCGUAAUGAUGGCCAGGCUGUCUCCACCCGAGACUCAGUGAAAUUGAACUCGCUGUGAAGAUGCAGUGUACCCGCGGCAAGACGGAAAGACCCCGUGAACCUUUACUAUAGCUUGACACUGAACAUUGAGCCUUGAUGUGUAGGAUAGGUGGGAGGCUUUGAAGUGUGGACGCCAGUCUGCAUGGAGCCGACCUUGAAAUACCACCCUUUAAUGUUUGAUGUUCUAACGUGGACCCGUUACCCGGGUUGCGGACAGUGUCUGGUGGGUAGUUUGACUGGGGCGGUCUCCUCCUAAAGAGUAACGGAGGAGCACGAAGGUUGGCUAAUCCUGGUCGGACAUCAGGAGGUU
Molecule: ribosomal RNA, 1434 nt
Filed under: Salmonella enterica
Lineage: Bacteria; Pseudomonadati; Pseudomonadota; Gammaproteobacteria; Enterobacterales; Enterobacteriaceae
Description: partial 23S ribosomal RNA
Rfam family: Bacterial large subunit ribosomal RNA
Source: RNAcentral